AGAGUUUGAUCCUGGCUCAGAACGAACGCUGGCGGCGCGUUUUAAGCAUGCAAGUCUAAGGGGUGUAGCAAUACACAACUGGCGAACGGGUGAGUAACACGUGAGAAUCUAUCUUAUGAUGGGGGAUAGCCGGUAGAAAUACCGGGUAAUACCGCAUAUGCUGUGAGGCAAAAGCUACUUUUGUAGCGUCAUUAGGUGAGCUUGCGGUUCAUUAGCUAGUUGGUAGGGUAAAGGCCUACCAAGGCAACGAUGGAUAGCCGGCCUGAGAGGGUGAACGGCCACAUUGGGACUGAGACACGGCCCAGACUCCUACGGGAGGCAGCAGCUAAGAAUAUUCCGCAAUGGGAGAAAUCCUGACGGAGCGACGCCGCGUGAACGAUGAAGGCCGAAAGGUUGUAAAGUUCUUUUAUACGGGAAGAAUAAGGUUAGGAGUAGAAAGCCUAAUCGAUGACGGUGCCGUAUGAAUAAGCCCCGGCUAACUACGUGCCAGCAGCCGCGGUAAUACGUAGGGGGCAAGCGUUGUUCGGAUUCAUUGGGCGUAAAGGGCAUGUAGGCGGCUGGAUAAGUGUGGAUUUAAAGACCGAGGCUUAACCUCGAGUAUGGUCUGCAAACUGUCCGGCUAGAGUGCGGUAUGGGAAACUGGAAUUCCACGUGUAGGGGUGAAAUCUGUAGAGAUGUGGAAGAAUACCUGUGGCGAAAGCGAGUUUCUGAUCUGCAACUGACGCUGAGAUGCGAAAGUGUGAGGAGCGAACAGGAUUAGAUACCCUGGUAGUCC
RNAcentral lists this ribosomal RNA (775 nucleotides) under uncultured bacterium. Its description in RNAcentral is "bacterial SSU rRNA". It matches the Rfam family "Bacterial small subunit ribosomal RNA", at positions 8 to 796 of the family's 1533-position model. The record is from RNAcentral.